Long non-coding RNA from Sinocyclocheilus anshuiensis, 565 nucleotides. RefSeq lists it as uncharacterized. NCBI's taxonomy places the organism in Eukaryota, Metazoa, Chordata, Actinopteri, Cypriniformes, Cyprinidae. The transcript has 3 exons. The record is from RefSeq and is a predicted model, not a curated record.
UUAUUUAUUAUGGUCUUUCGGAUUAAUUGUUUAACCCCAGUGUCCCAUGCUGGGGAGAAGAUAGGCACAAAAUCUAUCAUUUUUUGGGUUAAUUUCAGACUCUGUUGCAGGAUCUGAAGUUAUUUUGCAUGGUUAAAUUAUAAUGUGACCGUGACUGCUAGACUUUCUAGUUGCAAACGUUAGUCGAACAUGUCCAUAGUUGAUGUGAUGAACUACACCUGUGUGAAUUUGCACCAAAACCUUCAUUGACGUCAUUUUGUUUGCAGAUGCCACUUGGAUUGAUCGUUUGUUAUCUAAUGCAGUGAGAUCACACAAAGAGCAUGUCUGUGUAAUCUCAGACAUGGCAUCAGGUUCAGUAAUGUACAACUGACAUCAAACGGCUGUCGUGGAAAAAUCAGCUGAGCUCAAAUGAAGUGAAGACCCAGAGUCAGAGUCCUCAGAUAUGUGGUACAAGUAGCCAUCCUCUGUCUCUUCUGUGUAACCAUGAGUCCACAAGGUCAUAGAUGCUUCCCAUGGACCACAUUGGAGAUGGGAACCAGGCCUUUACGUCUCCGUCCUUACCCAC